CCCACGCCGAAAGACCAAGGUUUCCUGCGCAACGUUAAUCGACGCAGGGUUAGUCGGUCCCUAAGGCGAGGCUGAAAAGCGUAGUCGAUGGAAAACAGGUUAAUAUUCCUGUACUUCUGGUUAUUGCGAUGGAGGGACGGAGAAGGCUAGGCCAGCUUGGCGUUGGUUGUCCAAGUUUAAGGUGGUAGGCUGAAAUCUUAGGUAAAUCCGGGGUUUCAAGGCCGAGAGCUGAUGACGAGUUACCUUUCAGGUAACGAAGUGGUUGAUGCCAUGCUUCCAAGAAAAGCUUCUAAGCUUCAGGUAACCAGGAACCGUACCCCAAACCGACACAGGUGGUUGGGUAGAGAAUACCAAGGCGCUUGAGAGAACUCGGGUGAAGGAACUAGGCAAAAUGGCACCGUAACUUCGGGAGAAGGUGCGCCGGUGAGGGUGAAGGACUUGCUCCGUAAGCUCAUGCCGGUCGAAGAUACCAGGCCGCUGCGACUGUUUAUUAAAAACACAGCACUCUGCAAACACGAAAGUGGACGUAUAGGGUGUGACGCCUGCCCGGUGCCGGAAGGUUAAUUGAUGGGGUUAGCUAACGCGAAGCUCUUGAUCGAAGCCCCGGUAAACGGCGGCCGUAACUAUAACGGUCCUAAGGUAGCGAAAUUCCUUGUCGGGUAAGUUCCGACCUGCACGAAUGGCGUAACGAUGGCGGCGCUGUCUCCACCCGAGACUCAGUGAAAUUGAAAUCGCUGUGAAGAUGCAGUGUAUCCGCGGCUAGACGGAAAGACCCCGUGAACCUUUACUAUAGCUUUGCACUGGACUUUGAAUUUGCUUGUGUAGGAUAGGUGGGAGGCUUUGAAGCGUGGACGCCAGUUCGCGUGGAGCCAUCCUUGAAAUACCACCCUGGCAACUUUGAGGUUCUAACUCAGGUCCGUUAUCCGGAUCGAGGACAGUGUAUGGUGGGUAGUUUGACUGGGGCGGUCUCCUCCUAAAGAGUAACGGAGGAGUACGAAGGUGCGCUCAGACCGGUCGGAAAUCGGUCGUAGAGUAUAAAGGCAAAAGCGCGCUUGACUGCGAGACAGACACGUCGAGCAGGUACGAAAGUAGGUCUUAGUGAUCCGGUGGUUCUGUAUGGAAGGGCCAUCGCUCAACGGAUAAAAGGUACUCCGGGGAUAACAGGCUGAUACCGCCCAAGAGUUCAUAUCGACGGCGGUGUUUGGCACCUCGAUGUCGGCUCAUCACAUCCUGGGGCUGAAGCCGGUCCCAAGGGUAUGGCUGUUCGCCAUUUAAAGUGGUACGCGAGCUGGGUUUAGAACGUCGUGAGACAGUUCGGUCCCUAUCUGCCGUGGACGUUUGAGAUUUGAGAGGGGCUGCUCCUAGUACGAGAGGACCGGAGUGGACGAACCUCUGGUGUUCCGGUUGUCACGCCAGUGGCAUUGCCGGGUAGCUAUGUUCGGAAUAGAUAACCGCUGAAAGCAUCUAAGCGGGAAACUAGCCUCAAGAUGAGAUCUCACUGGAACCUUGAGUUCCCUGAAGGGCCGUCGAAGACUACGACGUUGAUAGGUUGGGUGUGUAAGCGCUGUGAGGCGUUGAGCUAACCAAUACUAAUUGCCCGUGAGGCUUGACCAUAUAACACCCAAGCAAUU
This 1631-nucleotide ribosomal RNA is filed under the name Pseudomonas poae. RNAcentral's name for it is "partial 23S ribosomal RNA". It matches the Rfam family "Bacterial large subunit ribosomal RNA", at positions 1331 to 2925 of the family's 2925-position model. Lineage: Bacteria; Pseudomonadati; Pseudomonadota; Gammaproteobacteria; Pseudomonadales; Pseudomonadaceae. The record is from RNAcentral.